RNAcentral lists this ribosomal RNA (135 nucleotides) under uncultured eukaryote. RNAcentral describes it as "partial 18S ribosomal RNA". It matches the Rfam family "Eukaryotic small subunit ribosomal RNA", at positions 1299 to 1458 of the family's 1831-position model. The record is from RNAcentral.
UGGUGGAGCGAUUUGUCUGCUUAAUUGCGAUAACGAACGAGACUCUGGCCUACUAACUAGGAGACAGUUCUUCGAGACUGUCAUACUUCUUAGAGGGAUAAGGGGAUUGAAGCCCCAAGAGAUUGAGCAAUAACA